Long non-coding RNA from Amphibalanus amphitrite, 1467 nucleotides. RefSeq lists it as uncharacterized. The transcript has 2 exons. NCBI's taxonomy places the organism in Eukaryota, Metazoa, Arthropoda, Thecostraca, Balanomorpha, Balanidae. The record is from RefSeq and is a predicted model, not a curated record.
ACAGUUCGGGCGGCCACUGCGACUCAUCCUGGCCGCGCGCUGGUUGGGCCCCAGUGGGGACCGUUGGUGUUUCCAUCGAAGACGGUCAGCGACACCAUAGAAACGUGUAGGAGAGAUGCGGUGCCUGUGUCUGCUGGGGCUAGCAGCCGUGCUGCUGGCCUUAGGCAGUGCUCAGAAAGCAAAUCGACUGAAAUUCCCUCACAAGUCUCUGGAGCCUCAGCCAUUCUCGCCAAAGCCAGCCAAGCUGCCGAAGGUGUCUCUGCGACUUCCACCGCCCAAACGGCUGUAUGACGGGCGAAGGGACCCGGCCGGCUCUCCCGGACAGGCCGUCGAGGGCUCCUUCAAGGCGACGCACAGCAAGCACGGCGUCGUGGGAGGAAAGUACGGGGCUGGUGUGAGAGUGCUGAACAAGGCAGGGGUCAAGGUCAGCCUCAGUGCUGUAACCGACAAGAAGCUUAAAAGAGGCGCUGUCGGCUUACAUGCAAUAAUUCGGAUUGGCGGUGGGCGUCGAGGGCGAAGGAGAAGAAGUAGGAAACCCCGAGGAGGAGGAGGAGGAAGAAAAGGCAGAAAACCCGGCACAGUAGGAGGAAUUAAAAACAGUCACCGUGGAGGAAGCGGAAGAGCAUUGAUUGGAACAGGCAAAGGAUGGACUGGAGGAGGUAUAAGCGGUGGAGGUGCAGGAGGGGGAGGGGGAACGAAAGUGGACAAGGGACAGACAAAAGGGGGUGGUGGAAAGGCCAAGGAUGUGGAAAAAAGAUCAUUUGCCGAAGACGCUGAUACGGCUUGAUGAGUUGAUGACGCAAGGAGCUCCUUAUGUCUUAAUCUACAGAUGCCCAGUUAAACGAUCGUUUCGGUCGAUAAUUUCAAUUCGUAUAGUUGUCACAGGCAAUGUGUGAAAUCAGGCAUUAUAGAAUGCCUAGGCAUUCUAUAGAAUGCCUGACCGACCAGGCAUUCUAUAGAAUCCCUAGGUAUUCUAUAGAAUCCCUGAUUGCUUAGGCAUUCUAUAGAAUGUCUAAGUAUUUUGGUUGUUCGAAACACACUUCGAAAUUUAGAGGUCAGUGGCAGUAAUGCUAUUUAUCCGUCGCGCCUGCGCUCGCAAAAAACUGACUUUGAUGAACGUGGGGCUGUAUUCGAAGCAAAGGUGUACAAAGUACAGUUUUUUGGUGAGGUGAUGACACGAUACAUGAUGAAUACAGUCCGGUAACCACUACAUUGCCUGUAACAUAGUCAUUGAAAACCUUCAUUACGUGGAAGUUUGUAUAUCUAUUAAGUUUAUUGUGUGUUUCGUACCAAGAGAAUCAAAAGUCAUGAGGACCGUAAUUACAGGUUUAUAGAAAAGGACCAAUGUUAUGCAUAAAUUUCAUAUCAUGAUAAUGAAAUGAGUUUGUUUGGUUUUGAGGGCAUAAAUGAGCUCUUUGGCCUCGUUAAACCGGACUAGACUUUAAUAAACUACCCCCAGUUGAACUC